AUGACCCCCUGCCACACGCGCCUCUUCGUUGCUCUGUCCCGGCCACGCGUGCCACCCCGUCCUGCCUCCGGCGACGCAAACCACCUCCGCCCGCGGGCGCCGCCGCACGAACCCCGCGCGUGUCAUGUACGCCAGCUCCACCCGAAUCGCCGCCGCAGCCUCCCUCCACACAAACCAUGCACCGCCGCCACCUUGGGCCGUUCAACAACACAUCCCAAGGAUGUUCACCACCGCAUCACCCUGAUCCCCACUGCCACAAAAUGCUCCGAUGAGGCCCAGAUCGUUCCUCCCCGUGGUUCAUAG
Molecule: ribosomal RNA, 303 nt
Filed under: Triticum aestivum (bread wheat)
Lineage: Eukaryota; Viridiplantae; Streptophyta; Magnoliopsida; Poales; Poaceae
Description: partial small subunit ribosomal RNA
Source: RNAcentral